This 126-nucleotide transfer RNA is filed under the name Habropoda laboriosa. It matches the Rfam family "tRNA". From Rfam's summary of the family: Transfer RNA (tRNA) molecules are approximately 80 nucleotides in length. Their secondary structure includes four short double-helical elements and three loops (D, anti-codon, and T loops). Further hydrogen bonds mediate the characteristic L-shaped molecular structure. tRNAs have two regions of fundamental functional importance: the anti-codon, which is responsible for specific mRNA codon recognition, and the 3' end, to which the tRNAs corresponding amino acid is attached (by aminoacyl-tRNA synthetases). tRNAs cope with the degeneracy of the genetic code in two manners: having more than one tRNA (with a specific anti-codon) for a particular amino acid; and 'wobble' base-pairing, i.e. permitting non-standard base-pairing at the 3rd anti-codon position. Lineage: Eukaryota; Metazoa; Arthropoda; Insecta; Hymenoptera; Apidae. The record is from Rfam by way of RNAcentral.
GUCAGGAUGGCCGAGCGGUCUAAGGCGCCAGACUCAAGGUGAUGAUAACCUCCUCAGUUUAAAACUGAGUUUUCUCGGGCGUUCUGGUCCUCUCUGAGGGCGUGGGUUCGAAUCCCACUUCUGACA